GUGCCAGCCGCCGCGGUAAUACGGAGGGUCCAAGCGUUGUCCGGAAUCACUGGGUGUAAAGGGUGCGCAGGCGGGCGUGUAAGUCAGAGGUGAAAGCCACCGGCCUAACCGGUGAACUGCCUUUGAUACUGCACGUCUUGAGUCCCGGAGAGGCUAUCGGAAUUCGUGGUGUAGCGGUGAAAUGCGUAAAUAUCACGAGGAACACCGGAUGCGUAGGCGGAUAGCUGGACGGGUACUGACGCUCAGGCACGAAAGCGCGGGGAGCAAACAGGAUUAGAUACCCUAGUAGUCC
RNAcentral lists this ribosomal RNA (292 nucleotides) under uncultured bacterium. Its description in RNAcentral is "partial 16S ribosomal RNA". It matches the Rfam family "Bacterial small subunit ribosomal RNA", at positions 505 to 796 of the family's 1533-position model. The record is from RNAcentral.